UACGUAGGGUGCAAGCGUUGUCCGGAAUUAUUGGGCGUAAAGAGCUCGUAGGCGGUCUGUUGCGUCGGACGUGAAAACCCAGGGCUCAACCCUGGGCCUGCAUUCGAUACGGGCAGACUAGAGUUCGGUAGGGGAGACUGGAAUUCCUGGUGUAGCGGUGAAAUGCGCAGAUAUCAGGAGGAACACCGGUGGCGAAGGCGAGUCUCUGGGCCGAAACUGACGCUGAGGAGCGAAAGCGUGGGGAGCGAACAGG
This 253-nucleotide ribosomal RNA is filed under the name uncultured bacterium. Its description in RNAcentral is "partial 16S ribosomal RNA". It matches the Rfam family "Bacterial small subunit ribosomal RNA", at positions 524 to 776 of the family's 1533-position model. The record is from RNAcentral.